RNAcentral lists this ribosomal RNA (640 nucleotides) under Acinetobacter pittii. RNAcentral's name for it is "partial 23S ribosomal RNA". It matches the Rfam family "Bacterial large subunit ribosomal RNA", at positions 2308 to 2925 of the family's 2925-position model. The record is from RNAcentral. Lineage: Bacteria; Pseudomonadati; Pseudomonadota; Gammaproteobacteria; Moraxellales; Moraxellaceae.
GUACGAAGGUGCGCUCAGCGUGGUCGGAAAUCACGCGUAGAGUAUAAAGGCAAAAGCGCGCUUAACUGCGAGACCCACAAGUCGAGCAGGUACGAAAGUAGGUCUUAGUGAUCCGGUGGUUCUGUAUGGAAGGGCCAUCGCUCAACGGAUAAAAGGUACUCUGGGGAUAACAGGCUGAUACCGCCCAAGAGUUCAUAUCGACGGCGGUGUUUGGCACCUCGAUGUCGGCUCAUCUCAUCCUGGGGCUGAAGCAGGUCCCAAGGGUAUGGCUGUUCGCCAUUUAAAGAGGUACGCGAGCUGGGUUUAGAACGUCGUGAGACAGUUCGGUCCCUAUCUACCGUGGGCGCUGGAAAUUUGAGAGGAUCUGCUCCUAGUACGAGAGGACCAGAGUGGACGAACCUCUGGUGUACCGGUUGUGACGCCAGUCGCAUCGCCGGGUAGCUAUGUUCGGAAGGGAUAACCGCUGAAAGCAUCUAAGCGGGAAGCCUACCUCAAGAUAAGAUUUCCCUAGGAAUUUAUUCCUCUAAAGAGCCGUUCGAGACUAGGACGUUGAUAGGUUGGAUGUGGAAGCAUAGUGAUAUGUGAAGCUGACCAAUACUAAUUGCUCGUGAGGCUUGACUAUACAACACCCAAGCAGUUG